UGGCUCAGAUUGAACGCUGGCGGCAGGCCUAACACAUGCAAGUCGAGCGGUAACCUUUCUAGCUUGCUAGAAGAUGACGAGCGGCGGACGGGUGAGUAAUGCUUGGGAACAUGCCUUUAGGUGGGGGACAACAGUUGGAAACGACUGCUAAUACCGCAUAAUGUCUACGGACCAAAGUGGGGGACCUUCGGGCCUCACGCCUAAAGAUUGGCCCAAGUGGGAUUAGCUAGUUGGUGAGGUAAUGGCUCACCAAGGCGACGAUCCCUAGCUGGUCUGAGAGGAUGAUCAGCCACACUGGGACUGAGACACGGCCCAGACUCCUACGGGAGGCAGCAGUGGGGAAUAUUGCACAAUGGGCGCAAGCCUGAUGCAGCCAUGCCGCGUGUGUGAAGAAGGCCUUCGGGUUGUAAAGCACUUUCCAGUAAGGAGGAAAGGUUGGAUGUUAAUAGCA
This 451-nucleotide ribosomal RNA is filed under the name marine sediment bacterium ISA-2722. RNAcentral describes it as "bacterial SSU rRNA". It matches the Rfam family "Bacterial small subunit ribosomal RNA", at positions 20 to 468 of the family's 1533-position model. The record is from RNAcentral.